CCUACGGGAGGCUGCAGUGAGGAAUAUUGGUCAAUGGGCGGAAGCCUGAACCAGCCAAGUAGCGUGCAGGAUGACGGUCCUAUGGGUUGUAAACCUCUUUUAUCCGGGAACAACGCGCCUUACGUGUAGGGCUUUGCAAGUACCGUAAGAAAAAGGAUCGGCUAACUCCGUGCCAGCAGCCGCGGUAAUACGGAAGGUCCGAGCGUUAUCCGGAUUUAUUGGGUUUAAAGGGUGCGUAGGCGGCAUGUCAAGCGUGCUGUAAAAUGUCCGGGCUCAACCCGGGCCUUGCAGCGCAAACUGGCGUGCUUGAGUGCGCGAGAAGCAUGCGGAAGGCGUGGUGUAGCGGUGAAAUGCUUAGAUAUGACGAAGAACCCCGAUUGCGAAGGCAGCAUGCUGCAGCGGAACUGACGCUGAUGCUCGAAAGCGCGGGUAUCGAACAGGAUUAGAUACCCGUGUAGUC
This 460-nucleotide ribosomal RNA is filed under the name uncultured bacterium. RNAcentral's name for it is "partial 16S ribosomal RNA". It matches the Rfam family "Bacterial small subunit ribosomal RNA", at positions 338 to 795 of the family's 1533-position model. The record is from RNAcentral.